This 253-nucleotide ribosomal RNA is filed under the name uncultured bacterium. RNAcentral describes it as "partial 16S ribosomal RNA". It matches the Rfam family "Bacterial small subunit ribosomal RNA", at positions 524 to 776 of the family's 1533-position model. The record is from RNAcentral.
UACGUAGGGUGCAAGCGUUGUCCGGAAUUAUUGGGCGUAAAGAGCUCGUAGGCGGUCUGUCGCGUCUGCUGUGAAAACUCGGGGCUUAACCCCGGGCCUGCAGUGGGUACGGGCAGACUAGAGUGCGGUAGGGGAGACUGGAAUUCCUGGUGUAGCGGGGAAAUGCGCAGAUAUCAGGAGGAACACCGGUGGCGAAGGCGGGUCUCUGGGCCGUAACUGACGCUGAGGAGCGAAAGCGUGGGGAGCGAACAGG